AGAUGCGAUCAUACCAGCACUAAAGCACCGGAUCCCAUCAGAACUCCAAAGUUAAGCGUGCUUGGGCGAGAGUAGUACUAGGAUGGGUGACCUCCUGGGAAGUCCUCGUGUUGCAUUCC
RNAcentral lists this ribosomal RNA (119 nucleotides) under Triticum aestivum (bread wheat). Lineage: Eukaryota; Viridiplantae; Streptophyta; Magnoliopsida; Poales; Poaceae. RNAcentral also lists the same sequence under 1 other name. The record is from RNAcentral.